Molecule: transfer RNA, 64 nt
Filed under: Trinorchestia longiramus
Lineage: Eukaryota; Metazoa; Arthropoda; Malacostraca; Amphipoda; Talitridae
Description: tRNA-Pro
Source: RNAcentral
CAAAAGGUAUUUUAAUAUUAAAAUAAUAGUUUUGGGUACUAUAGAAGGGGUAUCUUCCUUUUGA